CUAUGAUGAAACAGAUGACGAGUCUUAUUCGAGUUUUCGAUGCAGACACUAUCUUUUUUUAUACCAUUCAUGCUUUACCUGACC
Beauveria bassiana ARSEF 2860 is the source of this 84-nucleotide small nucleolar RNA. The record is from Rfam. NCBI's taxonomy places the organism in Eukaryota, Fungi, Ascomycota, Sordariomycetes, Hypocreales, Cordycipitaceae.